AUGAUCUGGCAUAUACAAAAUGAAAACUUCAUUCUUGAUUCUACGAGGAUUUUUAUGAAAGCGUUUCAUUUGCUUGUCUUUAAUGGAAGUUUCUUCCCAGAAUGUAUCCUAAUUUUUGGCCUAAUUCUUCUUCCGAUGAUCGAUUCAACCUCUGAUAAAAAAGAUAGGAGAAAAAAAAAGCUUAUGAUAAGCAUCUAUUGGAGUGGCCUUGCCUUACUUAAGGAUGUUUAUUAA
RNAcentral lists this ribosomal RNA (234 nucleotides) under Triticum aestivum (bread wheat). Its description in RNAcentral is "partial small subunit ribosomal RNA". Lineage: Eukaryota; Viridiplantae; Streptophyta; Magnoliopsida; Poales; Poaceae. The record is from RNAcentral.